This 22-nucleotide small nuclear RNA is filed under the name Arabidopsis thaliana (thale cress). RNAcentral's name for it is "snRNA_02582". Lineage: Eukaryota; Viridiplantae; Streptophyta; Magnoliopsida; Brassicales; Brassicaceae. The record is from RNAcentral.
AACAAACACUGCUUAAUACAUC